AUACUUACCUGGCAGGGGAAGUAUCAUGAUCACGGAGAUGACUUUCCGAGAUUGAGGUUCAUCCAUUGCAUUGUGGGUGUGCUGACUUUCGCCAUUUCCCCAAUUGUGGGAAACUUGACUGCAUAAUUUGUGGUAGUGGGUGACUACAUUUGCACUUCCCCC
Molecule: small nuclear RNA, 162 nt
Organism: Gopherus flavomarginatus (Mexican gopher tortoise)
Lineage: Eukaryota; Metazoa; Chordata; Testudines; Testudinidae
Product: U1 spliceosomal RNA
Exons: 1
Source: RefSeq, a predicted model, not a curated record